RNAcentral lists this ribosomal RNA (497 nucleotides) under uncultured bacterium. RNAcentral describes it as "partial 16S ribosomal RNA". It matches the Rfam family "Bacterial small subunit ribosomal RNA", at positions 28 to 507 of the family's 1533-position model. The record is from RNAcentral.
GAUGAAUGCUGGCGGCGUGCCUAAUACAUGCAAGUCGAGCGAACAGAUAAGGAGCUUGCUCCUUUGACGUUAGCGGCGGACGGGUGAGUAACACGUGGAUAACCUACCUAUAAGACUGGGAUAACUUCGGGAAACCGGAGCUAAUACCGGAUAACAUAUUGAACCGCAUGGUUCAAUAGUGAAAGGCGGCUUUGCUGUCACUUAUAGAUGGAUCCGCGCCGUAUUAGCUAGUUGGUAAGGUAACGGCUUACCAAGGCAACGAUACGUAGCCGACCUGAGAGGGUGAUCGGCCACACUGGAACUGAGACACGGUCCAGACUCCUACGGGAGGCAGCAGUAGGGAAUCUUCCGCAAUGGGCGAAAGCCUGACGGAGCAACGCCGCGUGAGUGAUGAAGGUCUUCGGAUCGUAAAACUCUGUUAUCAGGGAAGAACAAAUGUGUAAGUAACUGUGCACAUCUUGACGGUACCUGAUCAGAAAGCCACGGCUAACUACGUG